CAAAAGGUGGAUUUCAUUUUUGCAGAGCAUUCUGAAUGCAAGGACAACAAACCUUCAUCCAGGUCAUUGAGCCGUUGGCGUUUUGCAAAUGCAAACUUGACUGUGUCACAUAAUUUUGUCAUCUAUUGAGCAUUCAUCAGUGGCAUGCCAGCAUCAAUAAUUAAUUCUCCAUUGGACAACUACUCCUGAGAUGUAACUGUUUACAUCUUUGAGGCACAAAAAUCAAAAUGUUUCAUUUGCAGCAUGGAGCGUCAUUGUGGUGGACAUUCAUUCUGGCCACUGGCAAAGUUGCUCUGGGAGGAUGCUUAGCUUACAAUACAACAAUCCAAUGUAGAAUUUAUCUUUUAUUCCAGAACAGUCCUUUUGGCAUCAUGUGAGGCAAUAACUUUCCUCUGGUCUUCUGAGGUCCAGUCCUGGAACUUCCUGCAGUCUCCACUGUGGUGCAGCAAAAUGAGUCUAGUUUUGGCUCUGAAUUCAUUUGGCCAAAUGCUGGUUUGAAAUCAUAAUUUCAAAUCAUAAAAACUGAAGCAAGAAAGUUGUAAAAACACAAAUUUCUGUUAGCUGGGCCGAAAACAGAAUAGUUGUCUGAUAUCAAAAUUAGAUUGUGAUUUUUCUGAGACUUCAAGAAAAUGCGCGCCUUGCAGCGGGAGGAAAGCAGGUGGCUCAGAUGGUGCAGAUGUUGGUGAACUGCCGCCGCAGACCAUCAGUGUGGUUCUUCCUGCAGCCUCUGAGUUGUAAGAUGUCUCAUCAGUGUCCGUCUUCCUGACUGCCAGUCGGUGUUUACCUUCAGGAUGUCCAGAGACCUUCACCUUUCUGGAGCAGGAAUCAGAUGAGCUCAAUGUGCUGAUGAAACAUUUCUAAUU
Long non-coding RNA from Xiphophorus hellerii (green swordtail), 863 nucleotides. RefSeq lists it as uncharacterized. Lineage: Eukaryota; Metazoa; Chordata; Actinopteri; Cyprinodontiformes; Poeciliidae. The transcript has 2 exons. The record is from RefSeq and is a predicted model, not a curated record.